AUGCCUCUAAUGGGUGGUAAGCCU
RNAcentral lists this non-coding RNA (24 nucleotides) under Arabidopsis thaliana (thale cress). The record is from RNAcentral. Lineage: Eukaryota; Viridiplantae; Streptophyta; Magnoliopsida; Brassicales; Brassicaceae.